UACAGAGGGGGCAAGCGUUGUUUGGAAUUACUGGGCGUAAAGGGCGCGUAGGCGGCCUUCUAAGUCAUGCGUGAAAUCCCCGGGCUCAACCCGGGAACUGCGUCUGAUACUGGAAGGCUUGAAUCCGGGAGAGAGAUGCGGAAUUCCAGGUGUAGCGGUGAAAUGCGUAGAUAUCUGGAGGAACACCGGUGGCGAAGGCGGCAUCCUGGACCGGUAUUGACGCUGAGGCGCGAAAGCCAGGGGAGCAAACGGG
This 253-nucleotide ribosomal RNA is filed under the name uncultured bacterium. RNAcentral's name for it is "partial 16S ribosomal RNA". It matches the Rfam family "Bacterial small subunit ribosomal RNA", at positions 524 to 776 of the family's 1533-position model. The record is from RNAcentral.